RNAcentral lists this ribosomal RNA (515 nucleotides) under uncultured bacterium. Its description in RNAcentral is "partial 16S ribosomal RNA". It matches the Rfam family "Bacterial small subunit ribosomal RNA", at positions 28 to 523 of the family's 1533-position model. The record is from RNAcentral.
GAUGAACGCUGGCGGCGUGCCUAAUACAUGCAAGUCGAGCGAAUGGAUUAAGAGCUUGCUCUUAUGAAGUUAGCGGCGGACGGGUGAGUAACACGUGGGUAACCUGCCCAUAAGACUGGGAUAACUCCGGGAAACCGGGGCUAAUACCGGAUAACAUUUUGAACCGCAUGGUUCGAAAUUGAAAGGCGGCUUCGGCUGUCACUUAUGGAUGGACCCGCGUCGCAUUAGCUAGUUGGUGAGGUAACGGCUCACCAAGGGAACGAUGCGUAGCCGACCUGAGAGGGUGAGCGGCCACACUGGGACAGAGACACGGCCCAGACUCCUACGGGAGGCAGCAGUAGGGAAUCUUCCGCAAUGGACGAAAGUCUGACGGAGCAACGCCGCGUGAGUGAUGAAGGCUUUCGGGUCGUAAAACUCUGUUGUUAGGGAAGAACAAGUGCUAGUUGAAUAAGCUGGCACCUUGACGGUACCUAACCAGAAAGCCACGGCUAACUACGUGCCAGCCGCCGCAGUAA